CCACUGUCCCCAGCAAGAACCUGCGGGAGGGUGGCCCAAUGGGGAGAAAACUAAGGAUUCGGUGUCGGGACCACUCCUGCCCUGCCCUGCCCUGCCCUGUGACUCCGUCAUACUCUCCAAAGGCCAGACCCUCCUAGACCAGCUGGAACCACCAUCAAGAUGUCCCCAGCCAUGUCAGACUCUGGGGCCCCAAGCGGAGGGCAACCAGAUGUCUUCAGCUCCAAGUCUGGCCUCUCCUCCCAGCAAGCAGCCACCUCUGAUGGCCAACAGGUGCUGCUGUGUGCCCAGAUCAAGAAUCCACCUCUGUGGAAUUCAAAACCGCUGAGGGUUCUGGGGCAGCAGGGAGGAGAGAGGUGGAGACGCAACAUGGGUUUUCUGUGUUCAGACUGCAGAGACCUUGGAAAGGAUCAACCAUAUACAAUGUCCAUUUCCUGCCCUCUAACCUGGCAGGGGAGCAAGGCCCAGCCAAGGAG
This 473-nucleotide small RNA is filed under the name Pongo abelii (Sumatran orangutan). Its description in RNAcentral is "retained intron". Lineage: Eukaryota; Metazoa; Chordata; Mammalia; Primates; Hominidae. The record is from RNAcentral.